UUCACCAGCAUGCCAAGACCAACCUCAGGUCCUUUUCUCGGGCCAAGAAGCUCUCUUCUUCCUCUUCUGCCAUGGUUUCUAGCAGAGUGAGAGAUGAGAAGGCAAAGCAGUCAGAGGAGUCCUUGAGGACUGUCAUGUACCUGAGCUGCUGGGGGCCCAACUGAGGAAUAAGAUCUGGCCGGGUAUGAAGAUGAUGAUCAUCCUACCACUGAAUCAUCCAUGGAGGGCAUAUCCCAAGAAAGUGAUGAGAACAAUCUUAGUUCCCUACUUCGCUCUCUCAAGCUAAGAGCCUCUCUUCUUUUUCUUCUUCUUCUGAUAAGACGGGUGCAAACAAUGGCGGGGAAGAUGAGAAAAGGAAGAAGAAGACACAGAAAACAUUGGGAAAAGUCAUGUACUUGAGCUCCUGAGUCCCCCGUGAAGCAAUGGAUAGAGAUUUUGGGACGUGAUGCAAGAGUGAAAAAUUUGUAGAGAACCGCAGAUAGAUAUGAUGAUAUUGAUUUCAAUGUGUACUUCCAAAAAAAUGAUAUCAAAUUUCAGAUUUAUUAUCAUAAUAUUGUGUUGCCUUUCAUCAUUUUUGCCAUGGGAGUUGUUGGUUUUCGAGAGGGUUAGAAACUAAUUCUAUUUCGGAAAAAAGGAAUCACCAUCUUUGAGCAGUUCGAAAUUGCCCAGAUCUAAAAAAGACCUCGAUAAAAUAUAAAAAUGUUGCGCAGCUUGAGAUAUUUUUGUUCAUGAUUUGAUAGUCAUUUUUAAAAACGUUUUUAUUAUUUUUAAUAUUUAAAUGACAUAUAUUAAAAAAUUAAAAUUUUUUUUUCAAUUACUAAACAUUUCCUAAAAUUAUUACCUUUUAAUACUUCUUGAGCCCUCUCCUAUACUUCUUUUUCUCAAACAGUCUUUCUCAAUUCCGUCCUCGAUCUGAAAGAAUUUUAGCUUCUUUGAGUCUUACAAAAUAGAACAAUCAAAGCAAGAUCCGUCAUUUAGACACUAGGCUCAAAGGUUUCAUUAACAAACGAUACACCCCGACAAUCAUUUCUCCUCUUAUGAGUCAAAUUCAUAAUUUUACCUAUUAUUAGACAUUUCAAUUAAAAAUGAUGAAUAAGUGAUAUAAGUGAUAUAGUUAAAUUAAAUCUUUUAUGAUAUUUGAUAUCUUAUAUUAAAAAUUAGUUGACUUAUUACACUUUUAUUUGGGUUUUAAAAAGGGAAAAUUGUUUUGGACCCAACUGGUCCAAAAAUUAACAUUUGGUCCAUGUAACUUCCAUAAUUGAUAGAAAUGUUAUAAAAGGUUAAAAGACCAAUAUAUCUUUCAAAUUUCUAUAUAUAUUACUUUUUAAGGGUAUAAAAUAGUGAUGGACUAAAAUACCCUAUGACCUUUGACAUAAGUUUUUUUUUUCUUUAUUGCACCACUAUUCAUGCAACCAUAAUAAUUAUAUUUUAACAAUUUAGAUUUUUCAUUGUUUUUAAUUUUUUUUAUAAAUAAUUGAAAAUCAGCAUUAUUUUCUAUUUUAAAUUAUAAAUAAAGAAAAAUUAUGUUCAAAAACUAUUUUAAAAAACACUUUCUAAAAAAAUGGUAAUAUGAUUUAUAUUUUCUAUAUUUUCUUUUUGAAAAAACAUUUAAUUAAAAAAUGAAAAUUAUUUUUAAAAAUAAAAAUUGAAAACCUUGUUUAGUACUAUUUUUUUAUAUGAAAAUAAUAAAAAGAAUUAAAUUUCAUUCCUUGAUUAUCUAUUUUUAUUUUUUUUCCAUUAGUUAUUUUAAUAAUAAAAUAUAAAAAAUAUAAUAUGUUUACAAUUAAACAAAGAAAUUGAUCAAUUAUGUGUUUUUUGUGGGAAUAUCUUUUACAUGAAAAAUAAUUAAAUAACUAAAUUAUAUAUAUAUAUAUAUAUAUUACUCUUUUUAAUUUUAUUUUCUUUAUUUAUUUUUUGUCUAUUAGAAAAUUUUAAUAUAUCCAUAAUUAACAAAGUAAUAAAUCAAUUGUGCAUAUUUUAAUCUAUUAAAAUAAAUUAAUUUCUAAUUUAAAUAAAUAAAAUGAAAUAAGUAAAUAAAUUUAGGGUUAUUUCUAUUUUUUAACAUAUCUUAAAUUAAUAUUUUUUAUGGUUAAAUAAUUUUUUUUAAUUCCAAAAAUAAAAUUAAAUAAAUAAAUAAAUUUUAUAUUUUCUAACUGAUCUUAUAUUCAUAUUUCUUAUGGUUAAAUAUAUUUUUUAUUUUUUUCUUUAUUUUAAAAAAUAAAAGGAAAUAAAAAAAUAAACUUGGCUUAAAUAAUAGUUUUUAAUUAAUUUCUUUGUCUUAUUUUUAAUUACAUUUUGCAUUGAAAAUAAAAUAAAAUAACGUUUUAUUUGUUUUAAUUAUUUUAAAUGUCAAACUAUUAGGAACAUAGUUUACACACUCAUGUGGAUAUAAUUUAUACAUAUAUAUAUGAAGUUUAUACCAUUAUACAAAGUUAUUACACUAAUUAUAUAAGGGGUGUACAAAAUUGUACAUUUUGAACAACUUUCUUUUUUUUUUCUUGUCAUCUGAGAAUUAUACGUUCUCCUACCACAAAUUCAUAUAACAAUUCAAAUACUUACCUUAAUAAUGAUGUUUAGAGAAAUUUUUUUUUUUUUACGUUUUAUAUCAUUUUUUAAAUCAAACCAUUGGAAACAUGGUUCACACAUCAUAUGUGACAUAUAAUAUAUGCAUAUGGAUGAAAUUUGCAUCAUUGUACAAGGGUGUUAUACUAACUAUACAAGGUAAAUGUUCAAUUGGACAAGACAAAUAUUCUAACUAUAUAAAACAAAUGUUCUAACUCUACAAGGGGUAUACAAGGCUAUCAUUUGUGAAAGAUUUUAAUUAAUUUUGGACAAUUUUUUUUUUUUUUUUUGUCUUGUCAUCUAAGGAUUGCACACUUUUAAGGUACACAUUCCUCUAUUACACAUUCAUCUUAUACACUUUAUUUAACUCGCACAUGAUAAUUCGAAUACUUAUCCUAUUAAUGAUGUUUGAGAGAAAAUUUUGUUUUUCCAUCUUCCACUAUUUUUUGAAACAAACCAAUGAAAACAUGGUUAAACUACCUAUGAUUACACGUUAAGUAGAGGGUAUAAUGAAUUUGAGUCACUGUACAAAAUAUUUACACUAAGUGUACAUGACAAAUAUACUAAUUGUACAAGGGUGUACAAGACUAUUAUUUGUGAAGGAAUUUGAGUGAUUAUGAAAAACUUGUUUGUUUAUUUCCUCUAACCGAGGAUAAAUGACAUUCCUUACACACAUUGGUUAAACAUACAUUCAUUUCAUGCACUUUAUUUAACUUGUAUAUGGUCAUUUGAAUAGGUACCUCACUUAUGAUGAUUGUAAAACAAAAUUAUACAAUAAUUUUUAUUCUUUUUUAAAACCAAACCAAUGCAAACAUGGUUAACCGACCUAUUGUCAUAUAUUCAUGAGAUAAUGUAUAAAAUUUGAGUUAUUGUAUAAGGGUAUUACACUAACUGUACAAGACAAAUUUACUAAUCGUACAAGGGUAUACAAGACGCUUUUUGUUAAGAAUUUUAAGUGAUUUUGAAAAACUUUCUCAUUUGUUUCCACUCAAAGAUUUUUUUCCCCACUCAAAUUCUCUCACUCAAGAAUUGUUUCGAAUUUUAUUUUUAAAUUUUAUCAACAAAAUUUUGUAAUUGCAUAUUUUGUUUUUAUAGUUUUAGCAAUGUUCUUUCUUUCCACUUUUUUUUUUUGUGAAAUUUUAUCCAAAUGAAUCUAUAUUUAAAAUUAUAAUCAUAUUUAUCAAAUUUUUUACUAAGAUUAUCUUUAAUUCUUUUAAUAUAUUUAUAUUCAUUUAUUUAAAAAAUAAAAAACUAAUUUUUUUUUUGUAAACAUGUUCUAUUACCUUUCAAGAAUUAGAUAAGUUUGAAAGUCAAUAAAAAUAAUUAAAUACCACUUUCAAUAAUUUUUAGAUAAAAUUUUAUAUAAUAUAUUUUAUUUGAAAUUUAAUUUCUAAAGUUUAACUAAAAAAUUAUAUUUACAAUUUUUUUGUUGUGAGUCAAAAUACUUUACAUUAGUCUAUUUAGAUAAGAAAAAUUAUUAAUAUAAUAUUAGAAUUUUGUAUCUUAGUUAUUUUUUUCAAUAAAUUUAUCUUUUUAAAAAUUUUAAAAUAAAAACAUUAAAAAUUAAAAGCUAAAAGGAGAUAUAUAUAUAUAUAUAUAUAUAAUAAAGUGAAGUGAUAGUCAAUUUUUAAAUUUUUUAAAAUAUGGUUAAUAUAGAAAAUAUAAAAAAUAAUUAAAAAUAAGAAAAAAAUAUAAAUGAAAGGGUAAUAUAAAUUUAAAAUAAAAAUUAAAAAUUAAACUAAAAGAUAAAAAAAAUAUUUGGAUGAAAAAUCCCAAAAUUUUUAUCAUUGCUUAUAAUAAAAGCAAAAAGAUUCAAUAUCUUUAAAAAUGAAAAACAAACUUUUUAUUUGACAUAAAAUAGAAAUAUAGAUCGGAAGAAAAAGAAAAAAAAUUAGAAAUGAGUAAUACUUUAUAGGGAAUAGAAAAGGGAAAAAAAACACAAAAAAAAAUUAAAAUUCAUAUUUACUUGUGCCUAUGUAAGAGUUAAAGGUAUUUUAGGGAUUAAUAAAAAAUAAUAUCCUUCAUCUUAAUUUUCAUACUUUGUUUGGGUCUUGGAUUUAAAUAUGUAUGAUAUAUGAACUAAAUGUUAAUUUUUGGAUUCGGCUGAACCCAAAACACGAUUCUCCUUUUUAAUAAAAUCCUAUUAUGUAUUAUUCAUUCAUUGAAUAUGGUAGCUUAACAAUUAUUAGAGGUUUAAUAUAAUAUUGAAAUUUGUUCACGUUUUUUGUUAGGCGAGCUCACAGAAUUUAAGUCGAAUUGGCUUUUAGAUUGCCGCUUUGGAAACCAGCGGUUUCACUCCUUUUUUGGCGACUGCCACCAUGAUAAUACUUGGUUGACCAUGCAUGUGGGUGAAAACCCAAUCAUGCCCACAUCUAACUCCCUUUAGCAUUACAAAUCCAAGAACAAAGUAGUCAUUCCAAUUCAAAAGCAAACAAAGCCAUGAAUACUGCUGGCCACAGCCUCUGGUUUUUCGUAAACUUAGGGCACCAAAUCCAAACCCAUCUCUUUCCUAUAAAACCAACCCACCUUCACUUCAUCUUCUUCAUCACAACCCAAAACACUUUGAUUUACAGAGAGAUAUUCAAUAUCCCAUUCACUACUCAGUAUCAGUUCUUUUACUGUUGAUUGUUGUUUGAGUUUUGGAGGAAGAAAAUUAAGAAGAUGAGUCAUAUGGGGAAAGCUUGGAUAGUGGCAGCAAGCGUGGGAGCAGUGGAGGCACUCAAGGAUCAGGGCUUCUGCAGAUGGAAUUACACUAUGAGGUCUAUUCACCAGCAUGCCAGGAACAGCCUCAGGUCUUUUUCUCAGGUCAAGAAGCUCUCUUCCUCUUCCGCCAUGGUUUCUAGCAGAGUGAGAGACGAGAAAGCAAAGCAAUCAGAGGAGUCUCUGAGGACUGUCAUGUACCUGAGCUGCUGGGGACCCAACUGAGGAAGCAGAUCUGGAUAUGAAGAUGAUGAUCAUCCUACCACUGAAUCUUCCAUGGAGGGCAUAUCCCAAGAAAGUGAUAAGAACAAUCUUAGGCCCCUCUCUCAAGCUAGGAGCCUCUCUUCUUCUUCUUCCUAUAAGAUGGGUGUGAAGAGUAGUGGGGAAGAUGAGAAAAGGAAGAAGAAGACACAGAAAACAUUGGGGAAAGUCAUGCACUAGAGCUCCUGGGUCCCCAGUGGAGCAAUGGAUACAGAUUUUGCGGUGCAAUAUAAGAGUAAAAAUUUUGUAGACAACUGCAGAAAGAUGUGAUGAUCUUCAUGCGUACUUCAAAAAAAUGAAAUCAGAUAUCAGAUUUAUUAUCAUAAUAUUGUGUUGCCUUUUAUCAUUUUUUGCCAUGGGAUCACUAUCUUUGUUGGUUUUGAUUGAAUUUGAGCUUUAGCAGAUGGAGCAAUCAAGAGUUUGAAGCAAAAAGCACUUAAGAUCCACCUUCAGUGCAAUAUAUUUUGUUUUGAAUUGAUUGUGCAGGCAUUGUUCACCCCACAAUCCCUUCCUCCUCUCAGUCAAACUCAUAACUAUGGCUUGGCUCUAAUUUCAAUUCUCAAACAUCUUAACUGAAAAUCAUACUGAUGACUAAUAACAAUAAGUUCAACCUUUUAUGGCCUUUUUUUUUUUUCGGAGUGAUUGUUUGCGUGAUUCAUUUCAGACUUAAAAGAAUGAUGUUAUUGUGCCUAUACACAAAUUUUAUACUCAUGGUUUUAAUAGAAUCCCGUUCACUAUGUGAAAUUAAUAGUUUAAUAUAAUAUUAGAGUUUUAAUAUAUAGUAUUAUUUUAUAUUUUGAAAUUAGUAUUUUAAUAUAAUAUUAAAAUUUGUUCAGAUUUUCUGUUCGUUUUCUUGUUUAUUAAUCUUAUGGUUGGGUUUGAAAAAUGGAAAAUUUGAGAAAAAAAAAUGUGAGAAAAAAUUGAAAAAUAUACUUAAAAUUAAUAAAUUAUUUUUAGAUGCUUCAUUAAAUUUAUUAUAUUUUUAUAAAUUAUAAUUACAUUGAAUAAUUUAAAAAUAUAAAUUUUUUAAAUUAAUUUUAAUGACUUUUUUUUCCUUCUUUAAAAUUUUCAUGAUAAACUAGAAAUUGUAAAAUCAUUUGUGUUUUUUUCACCCUAUGUUGGACUUUUCCGGCCAAAUAUAGCUUAACUUUAGGGUUGUAAUUUGGACAAGUUGAUCGGCCUGAUCAUUGAUGGUCAAUCCAGACUCAAUCCAACCUUAUUUUUAAAAAAUAAAGUUAGUUAGUGGAGUUAAACUCAAAUUGAUUAGAUUAAACUUUAUAUUAAAACUUGGAUUGAUUAGGUUAAAUUUUAUGUUAAAAUUUGGAUUGAUUGGUUUAAAUUUCACCUUAAAAUUUGGAUUGAUUGGGUUAAACUUGAGUUGAUCCAAUUGAUUGAUUGUGUUGUAUAAUUCAAAAUUCAUUAAUAAUAGUUUUUUUUUUAAUUUUAUACAUUUAUACCAAAAUUUAGUUAGUAAUAAGACAAAAUUUCAAACAAUAAUAAUAAUAAUAAUAAUAAUAAUAAUAAUAAUAAACUCAUUUUUUUUUUCAAAAAAUGAAAAAAAUAUACUAAAUGAUCACAAUUUAAUAUUUUUCUUUAAAAUUUUAAAAAUAAAUAAAUAUUAUUAUAUUAGAUAAUAAAUAUUAUAAAAACAUUAAAUUUGGUUUGACUCGGAUUAUAGCCUAAAUCUAAUUCAAAUUGAAUUUUGGUUGUGAAAAAACUUAACCCAACCAAAUAUUGGAUUAAGUUGGGUCAACCCGUCAAAGUUAUACCCGUGACUUGUUUGGGCAUCUCACAGAAUUUAGUCAAACAGCUGAAAAUUAAUGGACUCCAGUGGGCAGAGUAAGUAAAGCAAAUUGUUUUGGAUUGCCGCAUUGUCACUUCUGAAACCAGCGGUUUCAGUCCUUUCACCCUUUUAGCAGGAAAACAGGGGGCACACCUCCUGGCAACUGCGACCAUAAUAACACUUAGUCGGGAAUAAAAAUGUAGCUGAAAAACCAAUCAUGCCCAAAUGUAACCUACUUUAGCAUUACAAAUCUAAGGACAAAGUAGUCAUUCCAAUUCAAACCAAACAAACCCAUGAAUACUGCUGGCCACAGCCUCUGGUUUUUGCCAAACGUUGGGCACCAAAUCCAAACCCAUCUAUUGCUAUAUAACCAACCCAUCUUCACUUCAUCUUCUUCAUCACAACACAAACACUUUGAUUUACAGAGAGAUCUUCUAUAUCCUAUUCACUACUCAGAAUCAGUUCUUUUUAUUGUUGAUUGUUGUUUGAGUUUUGGAGAGAGAAUUAAGAUGAGUCAUAUGGGGAAAGCUUGGAUAGUGGCAGCAAGUGUGGGAGCAGUGGAGGCACUCAAGGACCAGGGCUUCUGCAGAUGGAAUUACACUCUGAGGUCUAUUCACCAGCAUGCCAAGAACAACCUCAGGUCCUUUUCUCAGGCCAAGAAGCUCUCUUCUUCCUCUUCCGCCAUGGUUUCUAGCAGAGUGAGAGACGAGAAGGCCAAGCAAUCAGAGGAGUCUCUGAGGACCGUCAUGUACUUGAGCUGCUGGGGACCCAACUGAGGAAGAAGAUAUGAAGAUGGAUGAUCACCAGCAUACUAGUGAAGCAUCGAUGGAGGGCAUAUUCCAAGAAAGUGAUACGAACAACUUAGUUCCCUCUUUCAAGCUAAGAGCCUCUCUUCUUCUUCUCCUCCUUAUUCUUAUAAGAUGGAGGUGAAUAGUGGCGGAGAAGGUGAGAAAAGGAAGAAGACACAGAAAGUAAUGGGGAAAGUCGUGGGCUUGAGCUCCUGCGGUCCCAGUGAAGCAAUGGAUAGAGAUUUUGAGGUGUAACAUAAGAGUAAACAUUUUGUAGAGAUCUGCAGAUAGAUAAGAUGAUUUUAAUGUGUACUUAAAAAAAUGAAAUAAGAUUUCAGAUUUAUCAUCAUAAUAUUUGUGCCAUGGGACUAUCUUGGUUAGUUUUUUAGAGGGUUAAAAACUAAUUCUACUUUGGAAGAAAGGAAUCACCUUCAAAUUAAGCCAUCUUUCGAGCAGUUUGGAAAAACCCUUAUCUAAUAAAGACCUCUAUAAAGUACAAAAAGGUUGUGCUUUUACCAUAAAAAAGGUUGUUUCAAGCCCGAGAACAUCAGAAAUCAUCAUGCCAAGGUUGAUAGAGUUGCUAACAUACAGAUAAGAAAUUUUACCCAAAAAAAUAAAAUAAAAAAAUUAAAGCUUUGUCUUGAAAAGUCUCUCAAAUUCAGAUUCAUUUUUGGAAGAAGAAUAAGAGAUAUCUAAGUGAAGUGAGGGGUUCGUGGACAGGAAAUUUAAGAUAUUUUAAUAAUCCAAUAGUUUUAUUUGAUUUUUAUCAUAGUAUAAUAAAAUAAUUCUCUUUUAUUUGUGGAUGUAAGUUAAUCAAAACAUGUUAAGAUCUCGUGUAUUUUUGUGUGAAUUAUUUUAUUUUUACAUUCUAAAAUUAAUAUUUUUGUAUUAAAGCUUACAUUGAUACCAAAGCUAUGUUGAAGAUUUGUAAAAGAACAAAAAAAAAAAAAAAAAUAGUACACAAAAAAAAUGAUAAAAUGAAUUUUAAUUGAAAGUGAAGUUGAUUGUUUCCAAAACAUGAUACAAAAAAUAUGUUAUGAAAAGAUGAAAAAUUAACUUAAUGGAAUUUGAUGUCGAGAUUGUUCAAGAGUGCCUUAAAUUCUUAUUAAUAUUGAUUGAUUUUUAUAAGGAAUAUUGUAUAUAAUAUAUUUUAAGUUAAUAUAUUAUUAUAAUAUUAGAUUUCUUUAUUCAGUAAAGAAAGUUAUUAAAAAUAUUUUUAUAAAUAUUUUAAAUCUUAUAAGAUGAAGAUUAACUUGUAAAAAUUAUAUGAGAUGGAUAAAGAUGUAUAAAAAAAAUGAAAGAUAUCUUGAAUGAUGUAGUGAAAUGAUUCUCUCAUUCGCAUAUAUAGGCAUGAUUCAUCGAAUCAUAUUAAAACCUCAUGUAUUUUCCGGUGGAUUGUUUUAUUUUUAUGUUUUUAAACCAAUAUGUUUGUGUUAAGAUUUUCCCUUACCCAACACCUUCAACCCUCUCUUUUAUUUAUUUUUUUCAUUAUAUUUAUAAAGAGGUUUAUCCAAAGAUCUCAAUCCCUUGUCCUCAUCUUACCGUCUUUGAUCUAUCCGAGGAAUUUUAGUUUCUUUGGUAAUGAUUAAUUUUGAAUCUUACAAAACAAAACAAUCAAAAGUUUGAAACAAAGCAAGAUGCAUCAUUUAGACAAUUGGUUCAAAGGCUUCAUGAUAGACGUUACAUCCCAACAGUCAUUUAUGCUCUUAUAAGUCAAAUUCAUAAUCCAAUGUAUUAUUAGUUCAUUAUGUGAAAUUAAUAACUCAGCUAACAUUAGAGGUUUCAUAAAACACUAGAAUUUGUUCACAUUUUUGUUAGGUGAGCUCACAGAAUUCAAGUCCAAUUGGCAACUACUCCAAAAGUGAAUGUUAUUGAACUCCAAUAAGCAACUUGUUUUAGACUGCCGCAUUGUGGCUUUGGAAACCAGCGGUUUCACUCCUUUCACUCCUUUAGCAGGAAAACAGGGGACACAUCUUUGGCAGCUGCCACCAUGAUAAUUCUUAGUAGGGACCACACAAGUGGGUGAAAACCCAAUCAUACCCACAUCUAACUCCCCUUAGCAUUACAAAUCCAAGGACAAAGUAGUCAUUCCAAUUCAAACCAAACAAACCCAUGAAUACUGCUGGCCACAGCCUCUGGUUUUUUCCUAAAGUUUGGGCACCAAAUCCAAACCCAUCUCUUUUCUAUAAAACCAACCCACCUUCACUUCUUCUUCUUCAUCACAACACAAACACUUUGAUCUACAGAGAGAUCUUCAAAAUCCCAUUCACUACUCAAAUCGGUUCUUUUUAUUGUUGAUUGUUGUUUGAGUUUGGAGAAAGAAAAUUAAGAAGAUGAGUCAUAUGAGGAAAGCUUGGAUAGUGGCAGCAAGUGUGGGAGCAGUGGAGGCACUCAAGGACCAGGGCUUCUGCAGAUGGAAUUACACUAUGAGGUCUAUUCACCAGCAUGCCAAGAACAACCUCAGGUCCUUUUCUCAGGCCAAGAAGCUCUCUUCUUCCUCUUCUGCCAUGGUUUCUAGCAGAGUGAGAGAUGAGAAGGCAAAGCAGUCAGAGGAGUCUCUGAGGACUGUCAUGUACUUGAGCUGCUGGGGACCCAACUGAGGAAGAAGAUAUGAAGAUGGAUGAUCACCAGCCUACAGCGAAGCAUCCAUGGAGGGCAUAUUCCAAGAAAGUGAUAACUCAUAAGUGGAGUGGAGAUCAGUUUCAUGGAAUUUUUCCUAGAAGACAAACAAGGUGGAAAUCCAGAAAUUAAUUAGAACCAACUGCUAAUAGUUGGCGUCUCUGAGUUAGGAAUUUGUUAGCAAAAGGCAGCUUUGGUAUAUAUACUAAUAUACGAGAUGAUUUCAAUGUAUAUUUGAAAUAGAAAUUAGAUUUAUUAUCAAAACGAUUGCGUUGUCUCGUCUUUUAUAUUUUCCAGAUCCAAACAGAUCCUAAAGGCCCUAAAAUUUUUGUUGUAUCAUUUUUAUGCUAAAAAAUUACACAUAGAAAAAUUAACUAAAUCAUAAGUAGCUUCUAACCAUGAAUUGUUUUUUUUUUUUUAAGCCUAUAAAUUUUAUGCUUUAGAUACAUGCAUUAAAAAUCUAUCUAAACCAUAUAUAAUUAUUUUAAUGCAGUUAUAUAACUGAUAAAAAUAGAAAUAAAUUUAAUAAAUAUAAAAUAAUAAAAUAUUAGGAUAAGUAUUGAAGAUCAAUUUUCAGUCUUCAAACUUAAUCGAACUUGAAAGUGGAUGGCGAUGGAUACAAUGAUUUGAGCCAGGUCUUAAAUCUUUAACUUAAUGGAGCAAUUAUUGUAAUCUACUUAAUAAUUGGUCAGUAUAAAAUUAAAUAAUAAUAAAAGGAGAAAGAAAAGGACACGUGUUUGACGUGGACGUUGCCAAAACAGCGGUUUCAGACAGGCCUUUUACUGCCCGAGCGCCAGUGGAUUAACAAAGAAAACAAUGAGCACAUCAGUGGAAGCGGCACCAGCUACCAAGUAUGCAGCUGAAAUGCCCCUUGGAAUUACAAAUCGAAGGACAAAAGAGUCAUUCCAGACCAACCCAGAAAUACAGCUGACCCCUGCCUCUGGUUUUUCCCCAAACCUUGUGCCUUUCUCUAUCUAUAUAAUCCAGCCCACCUUCUCUCCAUCUUCUUCAUCGCAACACAAACGCUUUGAUUUACUGAGAGAUCUUCCAUAUCAAUUCACUACUGAGAUUGUUGUUUGGGCUUUGAGUUCUUGGGAAAGAAAGUUAAGAAGAUGAGUCAUAUGAGGAAAGCUUGGGUGGUGGCAGCAAGCGUGGGAGCAGUGGAGGCACUCAAGGAUCAGGGCUUCUGCAGAUGGAACUACACUCUGAGGUCUAUUCACCAGCAUGCCAAGAACAACCUCAGGUCCUUUUCUCAGGCCAGGAAGCUCUCUUCUUCCUCUUCUGCAAUGGUUUCUAGCAGAAUGAGAGACGAGAAGGCAAAGCAGUCAGAGGAGUCUCUGAGGACUGUCAUGUACCUGAGCUGCUGGGGACCCAACUGAGACGUUCCACAUUUCGAGUGAUCAAGAAGAAGAUGAUGAUGACGAAAGAUUCAUGGAGGGAGCAUGUGAAGGAAGUCAUGAGAAGGGGAGAUGAAAACCAUUAAUGGAGAAGAGAGAUCCAUCUGUGGAUGAAGGCAGUGGAAAUUUGGAGCCGAGUGAGUCAUGGGUAAUGGUUCUUAUGAGUUGGGAAAUUAUCAGCAAAGUGCUUUCUCAACCUCAGAUGCUUUGGGAGGAAUGGGAAUUUACCAGAAAAUUGCAAGUACAUAUGUAUGAUGCUUUUUAUGCAUAAUUUGUCCGAAAGCAAUAAUAAUCAGAUUAAUUUUCAGCUAUACUUCUUCUGAGAUAUGGAAUUUGUUGGUUCUGAUUUAAUUUCAAUGAAAUUGAUUAUUUUGUAAUUCUAAAGAAAAUUGGAUUAUUCUGUAAAUUCUAUUAUUUUAUUGUUGUAUAAAGGUAAAUUCUUCUAUCAUUUGUUUUGAUAUAUUCAAAAUUAGACACAGAAAUUAAAAAAAAAAAAAAAAAAUCCACUAUUCCAAGCCAACCCGCAGCCCAAGCUGACGGGUGCAUCCAACCAGGUAGCCAUGUUCAGGGAAAACAGCGGUUUCACCCACAUUUUUACUCCUUGCGCAAUGGAAAAAAAAAAAGAAAAGCGAUUAAAGCCCAAAAUGCCCAUGUAUCUCUUCAUUUGCCAUUAGAAGUAUAUGCACAAAACAGUCAUUCCAUCCACCCCUCACCAACCCAAAAAUCCUGGUAACCACAGCCUCUGGUUUUCCCCCACACCUAUGUCUUUUAAACAAUGGGCACACUACUGCCGACUGCCCCUACGCUUACUGCUUACAUUAGUUGAGGAUGAGUGAUGGGGCCAAGGCCAACUAUGUAGGUGAAUUCCCAAUUAUACCCACCUGAAUCCGCCCUCAAUCUGACCAAUCCGAGGACAAACGUAAUAAUCAUUCCAAUUCAGAUCAAGCAAACCCAUGAAAACUGCUGGCCACAGCCUCUGGUUUUUUCCCAAACUUUGGGCACCCGAUCCAAACCUAUCUCUUUCUAUAAAACCAACCCACCUUCACCUCAUCUUCUUCAUCACAACACAAAACACUGGAUUUACAGAGAGAUCUUCAAUAUCCAUUCACUACCCAGAAUCAGGUCUUUUUAUUGUUGAUUGUUGAUUGAGUUUUGGAGAAAGAAAAUUAAGGAGAUGAGUCAUAUGGGGAAAGCCUGGAUAGUGGCAACAAGCAUGGGAGCAGUUGAGGCAUUGAAGGAUCAGGGCUUCUGCAGAUGGAAUUACACUAUGAGGUCACUUCACCAGCAUGCCAAGAACAACCUCAGGUCCUUUUCUCAAGCCAAGAAGCUCUCUUCUUCCUCUUCUGCCAUGGCUUCUAGCAGAGUGAGAGAAGACAAGGCAAAGAAAUCAGAGGAGUCCUUGAGGGCUGUCAUGUACUUGAGCUGUUGGGGACCCAACUGAGACCCACCAAAAAUUAGUAGAGAGUUGUAAACAUGUAUGAUGAUUUUUUUAUGUAUUUUUUUGAAAAAAAAUCAGAUUAGGUAUCAGAAAUUCAGAAUGAUUGUUUUUUGCACUUUGUUUUUACAUGCCAUGGGAUUUGGAGUUGGUUAGUUUUGACUGAGCAUGAAAGGCAGGCCAGGGUUUUAAAGAAUUGAAUCAUUCACUGGAGAUGGAAUCUCUCUCAGAGAAAUCCUUAUUCUCUACAACCUUGGCAAAUGGCAAGCCACUAAGAGGGAAAACACAAAAAAUAAAAAUAAAAUAAAAUAAUAAUAAUUGUAGAGGAGAUAUUUGCCAAUAUAUAAAACUUAUAUUUUUGUAUUAUUAUUGAAUAAAUUAGAUUUUAUCAUACACUUAAAUAAUGGAGAUACAAAUUCAAUAUAAUACUUUUUUUUUGGUUAAUUUUAAAAGGUUUCUAAGGAAAUUAAGUCUUAAUCAAACAACUUUUAUUGAUCUUUUACAAUAUGAAUUUAUCUCUUUAAAAUAAUUUUAAUUUAGCAUUUAAAAUUUUCCGUUGAACUUUUUCACCAAAUGAGAAGUAAAAACGUAACAGAGGAAUGCAGGACUUUAAAGUGAAGUUGUCUUUUUUUGAACAAGCUAACUUUAAGUCUCGUUUUUUAAGAGAACUUUUCAUAGAAUUUGAAUUAUUUAUUUAACGAUAAAUUUUCAUGAUUUUUUUUUUAAAUUUACACCAUUUUGAAAGGGAAACUUGUAUUUUGAUGGAGCAAUUUGGAAAAUAUAUGAUUUUUGGAAUCCAACUUCACGAAAUCUGAAAACUAACUUUUAAUGUGAAAAAUUAUAUAUUUUUCAUGCACUCUAAGUCGGUUGCAUAUUUUUGUGCUAAGAUUAUUUUUAGGUUUAGUGAUUUUCCAAAAUUAUCCUUUUUGUUUUUUUUUUUUUUCUCUUGUACCCAUCAUCUGCCUCUCCCUCCCUCCCCAGUGAAAUUGGUUGGUAUUUUGCCGACGUCAUCACCAACCGCCACCCACACUUCUCUCCCGUUGGCAAUCUCCUCCUUUCUCCAUUUCCUUCCCUCUUUCUCUCUCUCUUUCAUUCCCUUUCGACAUCACCAAGAGAGAAGAAGGCGGUGGCAAUGGUGGAGAACCGGGGUUGGAGGGAAGAAGGUGCGACUGGUUGCCAUUGACGGUGGCAACCAGUAACUCUCGCAGUCAUUGACAACGGUGGUGGUGGAAGCACCUAAGUGGGGAGAGACGUCAAGGAGAGGUGGGAGGGAGGCGGACGAGGGGACCACGUCUUUCCCUACGCUGGUGCUUUCGCCGUCGCCACUGUCAAUAAUCGUGAGAGUUGUUGGUUGCUGUUUGUCGCGCCUUCUUCCCUCUAGCCCUGGUUCUCCACCAUUGCCACUGCCCUCUUCUCUCUUGAUGAUGUCGAAAGGAAAUGAAAGAGAUAAAGAAAGAGGGAAGGGAAUCGGAGAGGGGGAAAUUAAUGAUCGGAGAAAUGUGUGAGUGACGGCCGAUUUCACAAGGGAGGGAGGAAGAGGCGGAUGGUGGUGGGUAUAGGAGGAAAAUAAACAAAAAGGAUCACUUUGGAAAAUCACUAAAUCCAAAGGUAAUCUCGACACAAAAUAUGUAGCCGGUUCAGAGUGCAUGAAAAAUAUAUAAUUUUCCAUAUUGAAAAUUGAAUUUUAGAUUUCAUAAAGUUGGAUUCUAAAAACCAUAUAUUUCUUAAAUUUCCUCAUCAAAACAUAAGUCUGCAUUUUGAAAAGGAAAAACCCAAUGAAAUAUGUUCGUACUUCGUAUAGACCGUGGAGUGGGGUGUGAAAAAAACAAAGAAAUAGACACGUGCUUGAAAUCCGGCCGUGCACAUUACCCCAUUGGAAAACAGCGGUUUCAUCCUCCUUACUCUUUGAGCGUUGAGUGGAUUCACAAACAAAACAAUGGGCACGUACUGCGGACUGCCCCACACCAACACUGAGGGCCAACUAUGUAGGUGAAUACCCAAUUAUACCUACAUGAAUCAGCCGUCAAUCUUACAAAUCCAAGGGCAAAGUAGUCAUUCCAAUUCAAACCAAACCAAGCCAUGAUUCAUGAAAACUGCUGGCCACAGCUCCCGGUUUUUCCCUAACUUUGGGCACCAAAUCCAACCCAUCUCUUGCUAUAUAACCAACCCACCUUCACUUCAUCUUCUUCAUCACAACACAACUACCUUGAUUUACAGAGAGAUCUUCUAUAUCCAUUCACUACUCAGAAUCACCUCUUUCUAUUGUUGAUUGUUGUUUGGGUUUCGGAGAAAGAAAAUUAAGAUGAGUCAUAUGGGGAAAGCUUGGUUAGUGGCAGCAAGUGUGGGAGCAGUGGAGGCACUCAAGGAUCAGGGCUUCUGCAGAUGGAACUACACUCUGAGGUCUAUUCACCAGCAUGCCAAGACCAACCUCAGGUCCUUUGCUCAGGCCAAGAAGCUCUCUUCUUCCUCUUCUGCCAUGGUUUCCAGCAGAGUGAGGGAGGAGAAGGCCAAGCAGUCAGAGGAGUCUCUGAGGACUGUCAUGUACUUGAGCUGCUGGGGACCCAACUGAAGAAGAAGAUAUGAAGAUGGAUGAUCAUCAGCCUGCACUUGAAGCAUCCAGAGAGGGCAUAUUCCAAGAAAGUUAUGGAAAAUUAAGAUGAAGAAACUGCAGUGAAGCAAUUUCAUGGAAUUUUUGCUUGGAGACUCCCGAAUUACAACCAAUUGCUCAGGGUUGGGAAAAUUGGAAUUGCUGUAAAUUGUGACUGGUUCUUUGUAAAACCCAAAUCAUUUAGCUAGAAAUUGAAAAUACAUUUUAAUUUAAUUUAUAGUUUCUCUGUUAGAAUAUUAGACCCAAUUCCUAAAAAGCUUGUCAGUCUUGUAUUAGACCCAAGCUCAAGCGCAUUAAGAAAAAAUAUGGCAGAUUUGGUCACAUAGGGGAUGAAGAGGUGAUAAAGUAGAUACAACGCCCAAAAUUAAACUCUCAAUCAAUUUAAUUGAACAAAUAAUCAUAAAAGAGAUUUUUUAAAUUUAUGAUUUUUGAAAAAGAAAAUUCCAGUGAAAUAUGUUCAUGUAGACUGUGUGGUAGGAUGAAGACUAAACAAAGAAAUGGACACGUGGUUGAAGUCCGGCCCUACACAUUGCCCCAUUGGAAAACAGUGGUUUCAUCCUCCGUACUCUUUGGGCGUUAAGUGGGUUCACAAACCAAACAAUGGGCUGCCUUAACGUGGUGUUUAUUUUUUUACUUAAUUCUAAAUAGAAUCUUAAUAUUUAAUCGUAUUAAAUAUUAGAUUAUUUAUUUUUUAGUAUUUUAUUUUUAUUAAGUAUUAAAAAGUAAAAAAAAUCAUUGUGUUAUUUUUUCUAUUUAGAAAAAAUUAUAUAUUUUGAUUUUUUCUAUUUAGUAAAAAGUUUAUAAUAAGUCAUUAAAAAGUAAAAAAACAAACCAUCUAAAUUCUAAAACUAAAUGAUUUUUAGCAAAAAGCCAAAAAAACAAACACCACUUUAGACUGAGGACAAACUAUGUAGGUGAAUAUCCCAUUAUACCUACAUGAAUCAGUGGUCAAUCUUACAAAUCUAAGGACAGAGUAGUAAUUCCAAUUCAAACCAAACAAAGCUAUGAGAACUGCUGGCCACAGCCUCUGGUUUCCCCAAAACUUUGGGCAGUAUUCCUCAAAGAAUCAAGUGGGCUAGAUUUAACAACUUCGUCCACCAUGGUUAGAUUAUUGGGGGCUAGAGUAAAUAACUUCAUCCACCAUGGUUAGAUUAUUGGUAUCUCGAUGGGAGAAGUUGUUUUGAUGGAAAAACAUUGUAUUUUAUUAUUUUGUAAAUUUUAUCAUCACUCAUAUAUAUUAUUUUUUAUUUAAAAUUAAAUAAAAAAUUAAAAUUCUUAGAAAAUACGAAAAGAAAGUAUAUCACAAUCUUUAUUUUCUAUUCUAAAAUUAAAAAAUAAAAAUAAAAUUAUGAAGAAAAAAGUACAUUCCAACUUACAUUAAUUAAGGGAUGAUAUACUCUGCAAAUAAAAAAUAUAAAAAAUAAUUAAAGGUUAAAUAAAUCACUUAAUAAAUCGGUAGUAGGGGUUGAUGGUUUCAUUAUUAGACUAUAACAAGGAUUUUCAUUUUCAUUUUCUUUUUAAAUGCAUUUCAUGGUGGUGUAGAAUUUUUUUGUAUAAGGGUUUUUAAAUUGUAAUAUAGAUUAUAUAUAUAGUUGUGUUUUGUCCUAAAUUCUGACUUCCAAGUUUUCAACAUUAUAUAAAAAUCCCUAAAAUCACCUACUUCGUACGUUUUCUAACAUUAUAUAAAAAGCCCUGAAUUCACCUAUUAGAAAAAUGUUAUUUGGUGCGCUAUCAUUACCAUGACCUCAACCUCGUGCAAAGAUAUCGAGUGGUUACUAAUAGUAAAAAAUAAAUAAUAAAAACAAAAUAUAUUCAUUAUUAUUAUUAUUAUUAUUUUGUACUUUUACCAUCCAUUAUUCACAUCUUAGCAUAUGAUAGAAAAGAUGAUAAAAGAUUAUUUAUGUUGUAUGAUUUUAAGUGAAAUGAUCAAAAUAUUUAAAGAAAAAAUUAAUAAUUCAUGAAGAAUUUUUGGUAAAUUUAUAAAUUUGUAAUAAAUAUUGAUAAAUGAUAAACAAAGUAGUUUUUAAAGUGGUUGCAGUAGUUAAACAUUGUAUCUUAUUAUGAUUUUCCACCUUCAAAACUUAAUAAUAAAAUUUCAUAACAAAUUUUUAUCUAUUUGAAACUUUUGAAAUGUGGAAUCUUUUCUUGGACAUUUUUAUAUAUACAUUUGUGAAUUUUAUCUUUAUUUUUUAUUUAUAAAAUUAAAGGAUAAAAUUAAAAUGUUAAAAAUAAAAGAGAAGUAUAUCCCAACUUGCAUCAAUUAAGAGAAGAUAUAUAAAGCACAUGAAGAAUGCAAAAAAAAUUAAUGAUAAAAUAAAUCACUUAUUAGAUAGUAUUUAAUGAUUUACAUUAUUAGAUUGUAGAAAUGAGUUAUAUUUUUAUUUUUGUGUAUAGGGGAUUUUAAAUUAUAAUAUAUAUUUUUAUUUUUGAGUUAGUUUUCUUUGUUGAUACAUAGUUUUUUUUUUGUCUUGGAUAUUGUGUUAUCAGCAGUUUUAAAAGAAAUAAAAAUUAUUUAUCCCACAUCGAUUCAAAACUAAAAAUAUUAUAUAUAUUUAUUAAAACUUUGAUACCCUUAAAAAAUACAAGUACAACCAAUAAGCAAGCAUAGGGAUGACAACGGGGCGGGUAUGGGACAUGCCACCCCUACCCCAUUUCCAUCCCGGUUAUAUAUUUUUUUGCCCAUCCCUGUCCCAAACUCGGGGCGGGGCGAGUUGGUGUCCCCCUUACCUGUUUACAAAAGAGCUGAUAAUCUCAUCCCCAUCCCAAAUGUAUUUUCGGGAAUUAUGCUUUUACAAAACAUGGGUCUCUGAAAUUUCAAUAAACGUUAUAUGGGUUAUCAUAAACACAUUUAAUCAAGCAUUUGUUGUGCAACAAAACUACAAACUGCACAUAUGAGAACAAAAUGCACAGAUCUACAAAUAAACAACCCAAAAAAUCUCAAAUCCAUAAACCAAAACCAGAAAAAUAUGAAAAACAAGACAUUCUAACAAAGCCUCAAAACUUAGGGUUUUCUUACCUGGAAAUGAGGAAUCCAUAGAAACCCUAAUAAUUUGUUGUCUACGAAUUUGGUUUUUGGUUUUUAGAGCAAAAAUUGUGCUUUUAGGGUGAAAUGGGAAGAAGCAAUUUAGGAAUAAAUGAGAAAACGGGAAGAAAUGAGAAAACGAAAGGCCUUUUACGAGCAAAAGAACCCUGAGCAAUUUAGGAAGAAAUGAGAAAACGGGAAGAAAUGAGAGCGAAAGCCCUCUAACUCUCUCAUGAGCAAAAUAACCCUAAAACUUGAGGAAGAAAUGAUUAUAUGUGUAGGACUUUUUGGGUAUUUUGUAAUGACAUAAGGGUAAAUUGGUAAUUCACAUACGGGGCGGGGCAGAAACUGCAAAACCCAUCCCUGCCUUAAACCCAAUUCGGGUUUUUAUAUAUUCCCCAAACCCUUUUUAUACCCGAAUAGGAUAUUCUCAUACCCGUCCCAAUAGGGACGGGGCGGGUGACCCGAAUUACCCGGAAAAUUGUCAUUCCUAAGCAAGCAUUGAGCUAAAUCCUAAUCUCACAUUCCUACUUGAAACUUUACACUCACAUAAAAACAACUCACCACUUGACUCGAGGGACUAUUCCGUAACUUCUCACUACCAACAACCAGGCACUAUUCAACCUCUCGCUCACUUAUAAAUUCACUCCCUACCUGCAUAUUCAAAACGUAUCUCACUACUAUUCUACUCUACUAUUCUACUUUUCGUGGUUUCAUAUCUCACUAUUAUUCCACUUUUCGCGGUUUCAUAUCUCACUACUAUUCGCGUGUUCAAAGUGUAUCCCUCCCUGAAUUAAUUGUGAAUUAAUUUAGGCUUCAAAGUGUGUUGCUCUACAAUAUCCCUCCCAGUCAGGCCUCAAAGUAAGAACAACAACAUCUACAAUAUCUGCCAUGGCCACACAACCAAGGCAUGCGGUAUGCCGCAUUUUCUCAUGUCCUUUUCCCAUUUUGUUCCCUCUUUUCAUCUCCAUUUUGUUUUCAAUAUCCCCUUACCUUACUCAUAUUCUCUAAAAUUAGAUAAAAUUAUUAAUUUGAUCAUAUUUAUCUAACAUUUUUAAUUAAUACUACUAGUAUCUUAUUUUCAUAAAUCUAAUUGAAUUUCCUACUUAUUUAUUUAUUGUUUUCAUGACAAAACUUCAUCAACUUUCAUAUCUUUCCUUACAAUUCUGAGUUCAACUGUCCUUGCGAAAUACCAAUAUGAGAAUGUUUCCCCAUUUGCCCAACACAACAUAGGUAUGCAAAUCUCCUUAUUUGCAUCAUUUAUAUAUUUCAUGAUGGUUGUGGUUUAUGAAAUCCUUGAUUCUAAUGGAACUAUCAAAAUUGAAGAAGAUGGAAGAUAUCUCCUUAUUUUGAGUCAUGUUCGGUUCUUAAGUGGAACAGCAGCUGCAACUUUGUUGAUCCUGAUCUUGAUCCCAUAUUUUGGAUGGUUCUUUCUGAUCAUGUGGACCAUGUUCUUAGUGAAAAUAACAUGCUAUUGGGAUAAAACAUUUUAUAACUUUGACAUGUUCAAGAAUAAAAAAAAAUGCCAAUGAUAGGGAAGGAGGACAAGAGGAGCAACGACUCCAAGUUUAGAGUAGGUUUGGUCCAUCAGAGGUUAUUAGCAAAAAACAUAUUUUCUUCUUGUACUUUCGAAAGUGUUAAAUAAGUGUUAUAUUUUGAGUAAUGAGAGUAUUUUUUUCCUUUUUUCUUUUUUUCUAAUACAUUAUUGGUGAUUAUUCUUCGUCGGAAUACCCACAAGGCUAUUAGAUGUUUCAUUGCAAAAUAUGGUUUUAUAUGAUAGCAUUACGAUUGAACUAAUAAAACAUAUUUUUUGCAUAUUGUUUAGUUGGACCCCCCGACUACCUCUCGGUAAUAUCCUCUUAACAUAGGAAGUAUAAACUAAUAGCAAGUGCUAAUCUUUCCCAUUCUUACACAAGAAAGACCCAAGGAGAAGGUAUAUUUAGAAAUUGCAUAUCUAUGUUCCCAAACAAUAGAAAAUUCAAUAUAUGGCACUUCACUCUCUACUUUUCUUUCCCACAUUUUCUCAUAACCCAAAUAUGCUCACCUCUCAUUCUAAGAUCCAACCAUUGAAAAACAAUUACAAAAAUCCUAAUAAAAGAGAUAGAUCAUACUACAAUUACACUUUCUUACAAGAAAUUGAAGUGUAGAAGGUAUAACAAUUGAGUGAAACAAAUAAAAACCAACCUCCUUUAACACACAUGCUAAUGAAAUACUUGCAGAGACACUUUAAAUUUCUCCAGACUCCAAGAGAUAUUGAACAACAGCCUCGACACCUGCAGCGACGAGACCAUCACCUGAUACGAUAUAAUGCACAAACUCGGCACGGAAUCAAUAAGACUUGGUUGGAUUACAAAUUUUUUUUCAAACAUUCUCUUUUUCUUUCCAAUCACAAUAAAACAUCAGAAUAUUUUCAAAAAUAAAAAUCAGAAAUUCACCUUUCAAAAGCAAACACCCAUGAUUCUGAAAUUGGAGCUUUUAACCUAAAAGAUCAAAGAAGAUGAAGAAGAAAAAACCCAACCCCUGACUCGUUCGGAAAUAAGAGGAGAAACCACCGAAGGAUGAGGGCAUGAUUUAGGAUUUACUUACUUGAUUUUCCUAAAAAUCGAGAAUCAUCGGAGGGUGGAGGUUUGGUGUCAACGGUGGUAACUCGUCAAGUGGAUUGAAUCUUACAACAGCGACGUCGGCCAGGCAACCCUCUCACAGUCAGAUUGCUCUCCCUUCGGGGUCUUGCAUAGUUGCAAAUUUGCAAUUGUAGGUGGUGUCAUCUGUCGACGGUCUUGACAACAAUGGUGUUGUGCGAGUAUGGAAGAUUGGGAGCCUAAAUUGGUAAAGUAAAAAAUGCAUUUUAUAUGGAUUUACAUUGAUGAUAUGAGAUAGGAUUUGAUGGUAACAUAUUAAAUUAAAUUAAAUGAUUGAGUCCAAAAUGAUAUGGAUGGUAUGAGAUAGGAUUUAAUGAAAAAUUAAAUGUAUUUAUAUGGCAGAUUGAGAAUUAAAUCCACAAUUCUUAGUAGUAUUAUAAAUGGCUUUGAGUUAAAUGUGAAAAAGUUUUAUUAAUUUUUUAAGCUUAUUAAAUUUAUAUCUAUUUUUUAUAUAUAAUUUACAUAAUAUUUUUAUAAUUUUUUGAAAUUUCUAAUUAUCUUAUUUUGCGUGUUGCUUGAUAUUGAAUCAAGAUGUUGAGACCAACAUAUCUCGGGAACAUCUGAGUUAAUGAUCGAUAUCGCGACUUUGAACCAUGCUCGUCUCCAAUCCCUUAACAAUGAUGAAAAAUGAGGGCAACACAAUUACCCUUUUUAUUAUUAUCUGUUCAAAAUAAUACAUGCAUUAUAAUAUAAUUUUUUAAAAAUAUUUUACAAAAAAAUAUAUGUGGACCCCGUAUUUAGGCUCAUGCGUUUCCACUCGAUGGCGAGCUUGAUUUUAUUUUGAAAAUAAUUUUAUUUAUUAGAAAAUGACUUGGAGUCGCCACUUAUUUUUGUUUUAUUUUUAAAGGGUAAACAAAAUAAGAAAGAAAACCCUAAGUGUGACUCCUUAUUUUGGAAAAGGUGGUCUGUAAAAAAUUGGAUCGAGUUUGGGGGUCAGGUUACUUAUCGGGAAGGUACGGUAAAGACCGUAGCACCCCUUUAAGUCCCCAAAGUCGGGUCUCUACUAAUAAAAUGAAGUUGACGCAACAAUCAAUAAUAAAAACAAUGAAUACCGACAUGAUCACAUAUUGAAAGCCAAAACAUAUAAGGAUGAUGGUUAGAGUGAGAAAAAAUGCGUACCUGAUCAGCAAGCGGCAACGCGCUAUCAUAAAAUGAGGUUAGUGCACAAAUAAUGGACAUAAAACAUAGCUCACAAGCCACUGAAUCGAGUACAAAAUCAUCAGAUAUCACAAUUAAGUCAAAUUUAUUUUUCGGGGAAACAAUCACUGAUGUUGGGCCUUCACCAAAACCCAAUUUAUUCCUGUAUGAAUUAAUUUCGUAAAUUCCAUCACUUGGAAUUACAGAAUUUAAUUCACACUUAUUUUUAAAAUGUUUUAGAAAUCAUGGAAGUUAUGGAAAUCCAUGCCGAAGAAAAUGGCAACAAAAUUUUAUUAAAAAUGUGAUUUUUGGGACUUGAAAGCUCUAAGGAUGAAGAAUCUGGAAAAUAAUGCGAAAAAAAUGAGAUUUGGAAAAAAAUAUUUUUUUAAACCAAGAAUGGUGAAAAUGAGAAAAAAAAAAAAAAAGGAAGUGACACGUGGCAUAAGGGUGGCCAUGCAAAGGUGGCCAUGCACCAUUCCAAACAAAUCUAACCCCACUUGCUUUUAUUUGAUCCUGAUCUUAAUCCCAUAUUUUGGAUGGUUCCUUCUGGUCAUGUGGACCAUGUUCUUAGUUAAAAUAACAUGCUAUUGGGAUAAAACAUUUUAUAACUUUGACAUGUUCAAGAAUAAAAAAAAUGUCAAUGAUAAGGAAGGAGGACAAGAGGUGCAGCGACCCCAAGUUUAGAAUAGGUUUGGUCCAUAAGAAGUUAUUAACAAAAAAACAUAUUUUCUUCUUGUACUUUUGAAAGUGUUAUAUUUUGAGUAAUGAGAGUAUUUUUUUUUUCCUUUUUUCUUUUUCUUUAAUACAUUAUUGGUGAUUAUUCUUCGCUGGAAUACCCACAUGGCUAUUAGAUGUUUCAUUGCAAAUAUGGUUUUAUAUGAUAGAAUUAUGAUUGAACUUAUAAAACAUAUUUUCUGCAUAUUGUUUAGCUGGGCCUCCCAACUACCUCUCGGUAAUAUCCUCUUAACAUAGGAAGUAUAAACUAAUAGCAAGUGCUAAUAUUUCCCAUUCUUACACAAGAAAGACCCAAGGAAAAGGUAUAUUUAGAAAUUUCAUUUCUAUGUUCCCAAACAAUAGAAAAUUCAAUAUAUGGCACUUCACUCUCUACUUUUCUUUCCCACAUUUUCUCAUAACCCAAAUAUGCUCACCUCUCAUUCCAAGAUCCAACCAAAAUUGAAAAACAAUUACAAAAAUCCUAAUAAAAGAGACAGAUUAUACUACAAUUACACUUUCUUACAAGAAAUUGAAGUGCAUAAGGUAUAACAAUUGAGUGGAACAAAUAAAAACCAGCCUCCUUUAACACAUUUGCUAAUGAAAUACUUGCAGAGACACUUUAAAUUCCUCCAGACUCCAAAAGAUACUGAUCAACAGCCUCGGCACCUGCAGCGACGAGACCAACACCUGAUACGAUAUAAUGCACAAACUCGGCAUGAAAUCAGUAAGACUCAGUUAGAUUACAGAAAAAUUUUCAAACAUUCUUUUUUUCUUUCCAAUCAUAAUAAAACAUCAGAGUAUUUUCAAAAAUAAAAAUCAAAGAUUCCCCUUUCAAAAGCAAACACCUAUGAUUCUGAAAUUGGAGCUUUUAACCCAGAAGAUAAAAAAAGACGAAAAAGAAAAAACCCAACCCCUGACCCGUUCGGAAAUAAGAGGAGAAACCACCGAAUGAUGAGGGCAUGAUUUAGGAUUUACUUACCUGAUUUUCCUAAAAAUCGAGAAUCAUCGGAGGGUGGAGGUUUGGUGUCGGUGGUGGUAACUCGUCAAGUGGACUGAAUCUUACAACGGCGACGUCGGCCAGGCAACCCCUCAUAGUCAGAUUGCUCCCCAUCCGAGGUCUUUCAUAGUUGCAAAUUUGCAAUUGCAGGUGGUGUCAUCUAUCGAUAGUCUUGACAGCAACGGUGGUGUGCAAGGUGUGCGAGAUUGGGAGCCCAAAUUGGUAAAGUAAAAAAUGCAUUUUAUAUGGAUUUACAUUGAUGAUAUGAGAUAGGAUUUGAUGGUAACUUAUUAAAUUAAAUUAAAUGACUGAGUCCAAAAUGAUAUGGAUGGUAUGAGAUGGGAUUUAAUGAAAAAUUAAAUGUAUUUAUGUGGCAGAUUGAGAAUUAAAUCCCCAAUUCUUAGUAUUAUUAUAAAUAGCUUUGAGUUAAAUGUGAAAUUUUUUUGUUUUAUUAAGUUUUUAAGCUUAUUUAAUUUCUAUCUAUUUUUUAUAUAUAAUUUACAUAACAUUUUUAUAAUUUUAUGAAAUUUCUAAUUAUCUUAUUUUGCGUAUUGCUUGAUACUGAAUCAAGAUGUCGAGACUAACAUAUCUCGAGAUCAUCUGAGUCAAUGAUCGAUAUCGCGACUUUGAACCAUACUUGUCUCCAAUCCCUCAACAGUGAUGAAAAAUGAGGCCAACACAGUUGCCUUUUUUAUUAUUAUCAGUUAAAAAUAAUGAAUCUAUAUCCAUGUAUUAUCAAGAAUAAAUAAGUUUAUAUUUAUAAAUUUUUAUUAUAAAUUUAUAUUUACACAUAUCCUUGAUUUUCCUCAAGGUCUUAUUUUUAAUUGAUUACAAAGCAUUAGUACUUAUUUAAUUUAAAAUGUAUUAAAUAAAUAUUAAUAUUACAUAAAUAAAUAAAAGUUGAAUUUGAAUAAAAAUUAUAUAUAUAUAUAUAUAUAUCAUAUUCUACAUGAAUAUGAAUCUAUUAUUAAAGAUACAUGGUAAUAAGUGUUAAUAUUAUAUAAUCAAAUGAGAGUACAAAAAUUUUCUAUUAUUAACAAUACAUUAUUAUAAUAAUGAAAUACUUAAUAUCAUGUAAAUAAAUAAAAGUCAUCAUAAAUUUAAAUUUGAAUUUAUAUUUUUAAACCCAUCAAAUUUAUUUUUAUUUAUUUUUAAUUUUAAGAAUUUUUUCUCCACUUCAAAUAGCAAUAAUAGUGUUUAUUCAUACUAAUUAUACUUAAAAUUGAUGAAAUUUAUGAAAAAAGAAGAAGUAAAAACCCAUACCCUUCAAAUUUACAUUUGUUUUAAUUUUAAGAUUUUUUUUCUCUACUUCAAGUAAUAAUAAUAAUAAUGUUUAUUCAUACUAAUAGCAAUAAAAUUAACGAAAAUGAUGAAAAAUAAAAAAUAAAAAAUAAAUAGUAAAAACUUCAAAAUUUUAAUAAUAAUAAUAAUAUUUAUUCAUACUAAUAAACAAUUCUUCAUAAUCAUAACCUACUAAUUUCCAACAAUUAUAAUUGAAAUUGUUUUGAAUAAACAAUGUAAUUUGUAUUUGAAGUUGAAGAAAAUUGUGAAAAUUAAAUGGGAAGGGUAGGGUUUUAAUUUUUUAUUUUAUUUAAAAUUUUUCCCUCAUUAAUUAAUUAAUUAAUUAAUUAAUUUAUUUAUUUAUUUAUGAAUUUUGAGUGAAAUUAUUAUGAAUCAACAAUUUUAUUGAUAUUUAAAGUUUAAAAAAAAAAAAUCUAUGAAUUUUAAAUAAAUUUUGGAAGGUAUUUGUAAUGGGGUAUUUUUAUUUGCACUUUCCUAUUAUGUUGAAAUAUUGUUUGGUUUCAACAUUGUUUAUUCAAAAUAAUUUCAAUUAUAAUUAUUGGAAAUUAGGAGGUUAUGAUUAUGAAGAAUUGUUUAUUAGUAUGAAUAAACAUUAUUAUUAUUAUUAUUAUUAUUAUUUGAAGCAGAGAAAAAAAUUCAUAAUGCAUAGGGAGACCACAGAUUCUAUGGAUUCAACAAUUGAUAAACCUACUUGUUUAUGUUAUUGUCCCUAACCAUCUAUUCCAUUUUUGAAUUUACUUUUGGUGCAUUUAGUUUGUAACUUAUCUUAUGUUUUACUUAUUUUCAAUUUUUUUUUUUUAAGGUUAAGAUAGUAGUUUUUUUUUUUUUUAAAAAAAAAAAAAAAAACUCUUUUGAGCAAUACUUGAUUCUCUUGCUAUUCUUAUUUUUAACCAUUUUUUCAAUAAGAAAUUAUUUCUUUUUGGCGGAAUUGUAGGAAGUGGAUUGAAUCGGAAAAUUUAUUUGGGCCAGAUUGUGUUUCACUAGAGUCUUGAGAGAUGCAGCUUAGUGAGCUUAUAAUAAAAAGGUAGGCAUUUAAACGGACCAUACUGGUCCGAGUCAAUCUUAGUUUGGCCUAGUGGGCCUUCGGAAUUGCUCCAACAUGAAUUUCAAUGUCAACUUCAAUUUUUAAAAUUAAUAAUUAUACAUUUGUUUUAACUAUUUAUAACAAAUAUUAUCUUUGAAAAGUAAAUUUCAAUUAAUUUUUAUAUUUAAAUAAAAAUUAUUAUUAUUUUAAUUAUUUGUAUCCAAAUCAUACCCGAUAUAUUUGAUUUAUCUUACAAUGUUUCAACAUAAUAGGAAAUUGCAAAUAAAAAUACCCCAUUACAAAUACCUUCCAAAAUUUAUUUAAAAUUCAUAUAUAUUUAUAUAUAUAUAUAUAUAUAUAUAUAUAUAUAUAUAUGAAUUUUAAAUAUCAAUAAAAUUGUUGAUUCAUAAUAAUUUCACUUAGAAUUCAUAAAAAAAUACGAGGAAAAAAAUUAAAAUAAAAAUUUUUAAGAUCCCUACCCUUCCCAUUUAAUUUUAACAAUUUUUUUCUGAGCAUUGAUUUGUUGAUCGAUUAUCAAGGGCCACUCAUUUGCUUUGUUGGAUCUAACUCUCUGUAUGCAUGCUCUGUUUUGGCUUUGUUUGUUUUUUUUUUUUUUUUUUAUCUUUGCUUUCUCUUGUAAAUAUCUGAUGCAUUGUUCCUUCUCUGAACUUGAGAUAUAAAAAUCAUGCUCUUGUUCCUUGUGGAUUCCACCUUCUCCUAGCUCUUUGACAAUCCAUGAAAUAGAGCUAAGUUCAUACUCUAUUUUUAUGUUUUUAUUCUUCUUUGUUUGUUGUUGAUGGUGGGAUGAUAUUAUCAAUGGCUAAGUUGCUGGGAUUUGAGGAGUGAGGUUAUGGGGAAGUGAACUUAAUGGAGGAUUUCUAUGAUCAUAUCUAUGCUCCAAUCUAUUGGUUCAAAAUGUUGGCCAUGAGACUGCAUUGAAGUUUUGGUAUUUGGGAUCACUUUGCCAUCCGGGUUCAGUAAGCAACACAGUGGCAAUAAAGAUGCAUUGGUGUUAUUAAUUUGGGUGAAUAAGUUGGUUGUAUGAAUCGUGAAAGUUCAGGUUGUGCUUUGAGGAGAGUAUAUCUUGCAUCCUAUUAUUUUAAUUAUUAAUUUUGGAUGUUGAAAUAUGAUGUGAUCGCACUUCAUACAUCAUGGUUGUGUGAGGAAAAAGAAAGAUUGAAGAAAUGGUUGUGUGAAAUGGAAAUAAGAAUGAAAAGACCCUGGAGAGGGCAAAAAUGAAAAGAAAAAAAAAAUGAAAUGAUCCCAGAGAGGGCAAAUUAAGAAGGAAGUGAGAUCUUUAAGGUGAAAGUCCCAAAAGUUUACUUCGGGAAGACUCCGAAUGGGGAGUAUAUUUAGGUACAGAUGUGUAUCCUUUGGUGAAAGCUUGAGAACCAUAGUGCAUUGUGUGAUUGCGUGUAAGCAUUUGCAUCAUAAUUGCGUUUGGAAGAAGGAUUUGUAUUAUUUAUCAAGUGUAUGUUUGAAUAUAUUAUUCAAAACUAAAAUGACUUGUUUAUUUUGUAAAUUUAGAAUUGUUGAUAUACUAAACAUAUGAUUGAAUAAGGAAAAUGAUAAUUUUGAUUGUUUUAAAUUUAUAUGGUUAAGGUUUCUUUUAAUGUAUAUAUUGUAAAUGUAAUAUUGUAUUUUGACAUAUGGUUGUGUUAUUGACCUAGAAUUUCUAACCUAUUUGGGUGUAAAACACCCUACUGAGCAACGUGGAAAUGCCCAUCUCUUUAUUUUCUAAAAUUUUAGAUGCAAAUAUAGUUUCAGAGGGACCACAAGAAGUUCAAGAAGCGUUCUAGAAAGUAAAAGAACUAUAAUAAUAGUUGUUUUUAAAUUUAUAUUUCUCUUUUUAUAUGUACCAAUUUGAGUUAUAUGGACUUUUGUAUGUUAAAUUAUAUUUUGUUAAAUUGUAAAAUAUUUUUGGAAAUAUUUUUUUUAACUUAGAGAUUAUUGUAAAUAUUUCAGCUUUUGGGCAGAAAGAUGACUGGUGGAUUUAUUAUACUUGUGAAUAAGAGAUAGUGUGAUGGUUGGUUUUAGAAAAAUAAAAUAUUAUAGUAAAUCUUAACUUAAUAAGAGCAGGAUGAUCAUCAGCCUGCUCUUGAAGCAUCCAGGGAGGGCAUAUUCCAAGAAAGUUACGAAAAAUUGAGAUGAAGAAACUGCAGUGAAGCAAUUUCAUGGAAUUUUUGCUUGGAGACUCACGAAUUACAACCAAUUGCUCAGGGUUGGGAAAAUUGGAAUUGGUGUAAAUUGUGACUGGGUCUUUGUAAAACCCACAUCAUUUAGCUAGAAAAGCUUUGAAAAUACAUUUUAAUUUAAUUUAUAAUUUCUAUGUUAGAAUAUUAGAUCCAAUUCCUAAAAAGCUUAUCAGCCUUGUAUAUAUGGCUAAGCAGGUCAACUUCCCAAGCUCAAGCGCAUUAAGAAAUUCUCAGACCUACCUUUUUUUUAUAGGAUUUUUGGGAAGUUUUACAGCAAUUGAAAACAAAUCCUAAAAGGGUCGGGAAAUUAUUUGAAAAAAUAUGGCAGAUUUGGUCACAUAGGGGACAAAGAUGUGAUAAAGUUGGUACAACGCCCAAAAUUAAACUCUCAAUUAAUUUAAUUAAACAAAUAAUCAUAAAAGAGAUCUGUGUAGACUGUGUGGCAGGUUUUUAAUUUAUGAUUUUUGUUUUUUUAUUUAUACUUUUUGAAAAAGAAAAUUCCAGUGAAAUAUGUUCGUGUAGACUGUGUGGCAGGAUGCAGACUAAACAAAGAAAUUGACACGUGCUUGAAUCCGGCCCUACACAUAGCCCCAUUGGAAAACAGCGGUUUCAUCCUCCGUACUCUUUGGGCGUUAAGUGGGUUCACAAACCAAACAAUGGGCUGCCCCAACACAGCAACACUUAGAUUGAGGACAAACUAUGUAGGUGAAUACCCAAUUAUACCCACAUGAAUCAGCGGUCAAUCUUUCAAAUCUAAGGACAGAGUAGUCAUUCCAAUUCAAACCAAACAAAGCUAUGAGAACUGCUGGCCACAGCCUCUGGUUUCCCCAAAACUUUGGGCAGUAUUCCUCAAAGAAUCAAGUGGGCUAGAUUUAAUAACUUCGUCCACCAUGGUUAGAUUAUUGGGGGCUAGAGUCAAUAACUUCAUCCACCAUGGUUAGAUUAUUGGUAUCUCGAUGGGAGAAGUUGUUUUGAUGGAAAAACAUUGUAUUUUAUUAUUUUGUAAAUUUUAUCAUCACUCAUAUAUAUUAUUUUUUAUUUAAAAUUAAAUAAAAAAUUAAAAUUCUUAGAAAAUACGAAAAGAAAGUAUAUCACAAUCUUUAUUUUCUAUUCUAAAAUUAAAAAAUAAAAAUAAAAUUAUGAAGAAAAAAGUACAUUCCAACUUACAUUAAUUAAGGGAUGAUAUACUGUGCAAAUAAAAAAUAUAAAAAAUAAUUAAAGGUUAAAUAAAUCACUUAAUAAAUCGGUAGUAUGAGUUGAUGGUUUCAUUAUUAGACUAUAACAAAGAUUUUCAUUUUCUUUUUCUUUUUAAAUGCAUUUUAUGGUGGUGUAUAACUUUUUUGUAUAAGGGUUUUUAAAUUGUAAUAUAGAUUAUAUAUAUAGUUGUGUUUUGUCCUAAAUUCUGUCUUCCAAGUUUUCAACAUUAUAUAAAAAUCCCUAAAAUCACCUACUUUAUACGUUUUCUAACAUUAUAUAAAAAUCCCUGAAUUCACCUAUUAGAAAAAUGUUAUUUGGUGCGCUAUCAUUACCAUGGCCUCAACCUCGUGCAAAUAUAUCGAGUGGUUACUAAUAGUAAAAAAUAAAUAAUAAAAACAAAAUAUAUUCAUUAUUAUUAUUAUUAUUUUGUACUUUUACCAUCCAUUAUUCACAUCUUAGCAUAUGAUAGAAAAUACGAUAAAAGAUUAUUUAUGUUGUAUGAUUUUAAGUGAAAUGAUCAAAAUAUUUAAAGAAAAAAUUAAUAAUUCAUGAAGAAUUUUUGGUAAAUUUAUAAAUUUGUAAUAAAUAUUGAUAAAUGAUAAACAAAAUAGUUUUUAAAGUGGUUGCCGUAGUUAAACAUUGUAUCUUAUUAUGAUUUUCCACCUUCAAAACUUAAUAAUAAAAUUUCAUAACAAAUUUUUAUCUAUUUGAAACUUUUGAAAUGUGAAAUCUUUUCUUGGACAUUUUUAUAUAUACAUUUGUGAAUUUUAUCUUUAUUUUUUAUUUAUAAAAUUAAAGGAUAAAAUUAAAAUGUUAAAAAUAAAAGAGAAGUAUAUCCCAACUUGCAUCAAUUAAGAGAAGAUAUAUUAAGCACAUGAAGAAUGCAAAAAAAAUUAAUGAUAAAAUAAAUCACUUAUUAGAUAGUAUUUAAUGAUUUACAUUAUUAGAUUGUAGCAAUGAGUUAUAUUUUUAUUUUUGUGUAUAGGGGAUUUUAAAUUAUAAUAUAUAUUUUUUAUUAUUUUUGAGUUAGUUUUCUUUGUUGAUACAUAGUUUUUUUUUUUGUCUUAGAUAUUGUGUUAUCAGCAGUUUUAAAAGAAAUAAAAAUUAUUUAUCCCACAUCGAUUCAAAACUAAAAAUAUUAUAUAUAUUUAUUAAAACUUUGAUACCCUUAAAAAAUACAAGUACAACCAAUAAGCAAGCAUAGGGAUGGCAACGGGGCGGGUAUGGGACAUGCCACCCCUACCCCAUUUCCAUCCCAGUUAUAUAUUUUUUUGCCCAUCUCUGUCCCAAACUUGGGGCGAGGCGAGUUGGUGUCCCCCUUACCUGUUUACAAAAGAGCUGAUAAUCUCAUCCCCGUUCCAAAUGUAUUUUCGGGAAUUAUGCUUUUACAGAACAUUGGUCUCUGAAAUUUCAAUAAACGUUAUAUGGGUUAUCAUAAACACAUUUAAUCAAGCAUUUGUUGUGCAACAAAACUAAAAAUUGCACAUAUGAGAACAAAAUGUACAUAUCUACAAAUAAACAACCCAAAAAAUCUCAAAUCCAUAAAGCAAAACCAGAAAAAUAUGAAAAACAAGACAUUCUAACAAAGCCUCAAAACUUAGGGUUUUCUUACCUGGAAAUGAGGAAUCUAUAGAAACCCUAAUAAUUUGUUGUCUACGAAUUUGGUUUUUAGUUUUUAGAGCAAAAAUUGUGCUUUUAGGGUGAAAUGGGAAGAAGCAAUUUAGGAAGAAAUGAGAAAACGGGAAGAAAUGAGAAAACGAAAGGCCUCUUAUGAGCAAAAGAACCCUGAGCAAUUUAGGAAGAAAUGAGAAAACGGGAAGAAAUGAGAGCGAAAGCCCUCUAACUCUUUCACGAGCGAAAUAACCCUAAAACUUGAGGAAGAAAUGAUUAUAUAUGGAGGACUUUUUGGGUAUUUUGUAAUGACGUAAGGGUAAAUUGGUAAUUCACAUACGGGGUGGGGCAGAAACUGCAAAACCCAUCCCUGCCUUAAACCCGAUUCGGGUUUUUAUAUAUUCCCCAAACCCGUUUUAUACCCGAAUAGGAUAUUCUCAUACUCGUCCCAAUAGGGACGGGGCGGGUGACCCAAAUUACCCGGAAAAUUGUCAUUCCUAAGCAAGCAUUGAGUUAAAUCCUAAUCUCACAUUCCUGCUCGAAACUUUACACUCACAUAAAAACAACUCACCACUUGACUCGAGGGACUAUUCCGUAACUUCUCACUACCAACAACUAGGCACUAUUCAACCUCUCGCUCACUUAUAAAUUCACUCUCUACCUGCAUAUUCAAAAUGUAUCUCACUACUAUUCUACUCUACUAUUCUACUUUUCGUGGUUUCAUAUCUCACUAUUAUUCUACUUUUCGCGGUUUCAUAUCUCACUACUAUUCGCGUGUUCAAAGUGUGCAUAUUCAAACUGUAUCCCUCCCUGAAUUAAUUGUGAAUUAAUUUAGGCUUCAAAGUGUGAUGCUCUACAAUAUCCCUCCCAGUCAGGCCUCAAAGUAAGAACAACAACAUCUACAAUAUCUGCCAUGGCCACACAACCAAGGCAUGCGGUAUGCCGCAUUUUCUCAUGUCCUUUUCCCAUUUUGUUCCCUCUUUUCAUCUCCAUUUUGUUUUCAAUAUUCCCUUACCUUACUCAUAUUCUCUAAAAUUAGAUAAAAUUAUUAAUUUGAUCAUAUUUAUCUAACAUUUUUAAUUAGUACUACUAGUAUCUUAUUUUCAUAAAUCUAAUUGAAUUUCCUACUUAUUUAUUUAUUGUUUUCAUGACAAAACUUCAUCAGCUUUCAUAUCUUUCCUUACAAUUCUGAGUUCAACUGUCCUUGCGAAAUACCAAUAUGAGAAUGUUUUCCCAUUUGCCCAACACAACAUAGGUAUGCAAAUCUCCUUAUUUGCAUCAUUUAUAUAUUUCAUGAUGGUUGUGGUUUAUGAAAUCCUUGAUUCAGAUGGAACUAUCAAAAUUCAAGAAGAUGGAAGAUAUCUCCUUAUUUUGGGUCAUGUUCGGUUCUUAAGUGGAACAGCAGCUGCAACUUUGUUGAUCCUGAUCUUGAUCCCAUAUUUUGGAUGGUUCUUUCUGAUCAUGUGGACCAUGUUCUUAGUGAAAAUAGCAUGCUAUUGGGAUAAAACAUUUUAUAACUUUGACAUGUUCGAGAAUUAAAAAAAAUGCCAAUGAUAAGGAAUGAGGACAAGAGGAGCAACGACCCCAAGUUUAGAGUAGGUUUGGUCUAUAAGAGGUUAUUAGCAAAAAACAUAUUUUCUUCUUGUACUUUCGAAAGUGUUAUAUAAGUGUUAUAUUUUGAGUAAUGAGAGUAUUUUUUUUUUCCUUUUUUCUUUUUCUCUAAUACAUUAUUGUUGAUUAUUCUUCGCUGGAAUACCCACAAAGCUAUUAGAUGUUUCAUUGCAAAUAUGGUUUUAUAUGAUAGCAUUAUGAUUGAACUAAUAAAAUAAAUUUUCUGCAUAUUGUUUAGCUGGACCUCCCAACUACCUCUCGGUAAUAUCCUCUUAACAUAGGAAAUAUAAACUAAUAGCAAGUGCUAAUCUUUCCCAUUCUUACACAAGAAAGAACCAAGGAAAAGGUAUAUUUAGAAGUUGCAUUUCUAUGUUCCCAAACAAUAGAAAAUUCAAUAUAUGGUGCUUUACUCUCUACUUUUCUUUCCCACCUUUUCUCAUAACCCAAAUAUGCUCACGUCUCUUUCCAAGAUCCAACCAAAAUUGAAACACAAUUACAAAAAUCCUUGUAAAAAAGACAGAUCAUACUACAAUUACACUUUCAUACAAGAAAUUGAAGUGCAGAAAGUAUAAAAAUUGAGUGAAACAAAUAAAAACCAACCUCCUUUCACACACCUGCUAAUGAAAUACUUGUAGAGACACUUUAAAUUUCUCCAGACUCCAAGAGAUAUUGAUCAACAGCCUCGACACUUGCAGCGACGAGACCAGCAUCUGAUACGAUAUAAUGCACAAACUCGGCACGGAAUCGAUAAGACUCGGUUAGAUUACAAAUUUUUUUUCAAACAUUCUUUUUUUCUUUCCAAUCACAAUAAAACAUCAUAAUAUUUUCAAAAAUAAAAAUAAGAGAUUCCCCUUUCAAAAGCAGACACCCAUGAUUCUGAAAUUGGAGCUUUUAACCCAGAAGAUCAAAGAAGAUGAAGAAGAAAAAACCCAACCCCUGACCCGUUCGAAAAUAAGAGGAGAAACCACCGAAGAAUGAGGGCAUGAUUUAGGAUUUACUUACUUGAUUUUCCUAAAAAUCAAGAAUCAUCGGAGGGUGGAGGUUUGGUGUCGGCGGUGGUAACUCGUCAAGUGGACUGAAUCUUACAACGGCGACGUCGGCCAGACAACCCCUUCACAGUUAGAUUGCUUCCCCUCCGGGGUCUUGCAUAGUUGCAAAUUUGCAAUUGUAGGUGGUGUCAUCUGUCGGCGGUCUUGACAACAAUGGUGGUGUGCGAGUGUGGGAGAUUGGGAGCCCAAAUUGGUAAAGUAAAAAAAUGCAUUUUAUAUGGAUUUACAUUGAUGAUAUGAGAUAGGAUUUGAUGGUAACAUAUUAAAUUAAAUUAAAUGAUUGAGUCCAAAAUGAUCUGGAUGGUAUGAGAUGGGAUUUAGUGAAAAAUUAAAUGUAUUUAUAUGGCAGAUUGAGAAUUAAAUCCACAAUUCUUAGUAUUAUUAUAAAUAGCUUUGAGUUAAAUGUGAAAAAAAUUUAUUAAUUUUUUAAGCUUAUUAAGUUUAUAUCUAUUUUUUUUAUAUAUAAUUUACAUAAUAUUUUUAUAAUUUUUUUGAAAUUUCUAAUUAUCUUAUUUUGCGUAUUGCUUGAUAUCGAAUCAAGAUGUCGAGACCAACAUAUCUCGAGAUCAUCCGAGUCAAUGAUCGAUAUCGCGACUUUGAACUAUGCUCAUCUCCAAUCCCUCAAUAGUGAUGAAAAAUAAGGGCAACGCAAUUACCUUUUUUAUUAUUAUCAGUUCAAAAUAAUACAUGUAUUAUAAUAUAAUUUUUUUAAAAUAUUUUACAAAAAAAUAUAUGUGGACCCCGUAUUUAGGCUCAUGCGCUUCCAUUCGAUGGCAAACUCGAUUUUAUUUUGAAAAUGAUUUUAUUUAUUAAAAAAUGACUUGGAGUCGCCACUUAUUUUUGUUUUAUUUUUAAAGGGUAAAGAAAAUAAGAAAGAAAACCCUAUGUGUGACUACUUAUUUUGAAAAAGGUGGUCUGUGAAAAACCGAAUCAGGUUCGGGGGUCAGGUUACUUAUUGGGAAGGUACAGUAAAAACCGUAGCACCCCUUUAAGUUCCCAAAGUCGGGUCUCUACUAAUAAAAUGAAGCUAACACGACAAUGAAUAAGAAAAAUAAUGAAUAUUGACAUGAUCACAUAUUGAAAGCCAAAACAUAUAAGGAUGAUGGUCAGAGUGAGAAAAAAUGCAUACCUGAUCAGCAAGCGGUAACGCGCUAUCAUAAAAUGAGGUUAGUGCACAAAUAAUGGACAUAAAACAUAGCUCACAUGCCACUGAAUCGAGUACAAAAUCAUCAGAUAUCACAAUUAAGUUAAAUUUAUUUUUCGAGGAAACAAUCACUGAUGUUGGGCCCCCACUGUAGACCCUCAAAUUUGUCCCUUUAGCACAUGUCUUUGAGUUCGUUUUCAGUACUUCAAAAUAGUUCCUUGGUGGCCCAUGGCUACUCAUACCACUUACCUUUUUCUGAGUCACCUCGGAGAUUUUGGUCGAGGGAUUAUCUGACCCAUUAUUGUGACCCUUGGCAACCCUAUUUUAGACUUAGGCUUUUCGUUCAUUUUUAGGAUAGCUUUUAGGGUAGCUCAUUUAGGCACCCUAGGCCCACUUAGGCACUUAGGCCCAUUUAGGCACCCUAGAUCCACUUAGGCACUUAGGCCCAUUAGGUCCACCUUGGCCCACUUAGUCUCACCUUGGCCCAUUAGUCUUUGUUUUUAGUAUGACUUAUAUGGUUGUAUGACGCAUUUAUCUCAUUUACUUAUUUAUUUAUCUUUAUUUUUUAUUAUUACUAACCACUUUUAUUUGAUCAUUUAUUAUGGUUUUAUUUAUUCAUUUGUUUUGAUUUAUUUUCAUUAUUAUCAAUCAUUUUUUAGUUAUUUAUUUAUUUAGUAUUCUUACUUAUUUAUUUAUUAUCUUGUUAUUUAUUCAUUUAUCUAUUAUUAUCAUUUUAUAUUCUCCGAUUUAUUUAUUUAGUUAUUUAUUUAUUUUAUUAUUUAUUAUCUAUUUUAUUAUUUAUUUAUUUAUUUAAUUUAAUAAUUUGAAAUUUUUAUGGAAGAAGUCUACCAUUGGAUAAGUUUUUGAAAACGGUAAAACUCUUUAAAUGAUAUGCAUGGAUUGUGGGUGAUAUGCGUGGAUUGGUAUUGUUUGAAAUUAAAAAAAAAUGAGUUUUUCCGGUGCAUAAGAUAAAAUCUGGAGGGAGGAAGACUCCUCACGUAGGAGGACUAUUAUUUGCUAUAAAAAAGCUCUAACAGAUAGGUAUAAAGGGAGGACUUUCGGCACAUAGAAAAAAAAAAAAAAAAGAGAGAGAGGCGGAAAAAUUGGAUUUUCAGAGAAGACUUUCUAGUGAGAAGCUGUCGGUGGAGAAGAAGGAGAGGGCGGUGGAAGAAAUCUCAGACGACAAACCAGUGGGAUCUCCUUGCCAGAGGAGAGCGUUCCUCGGUAUGUUUGUUGAGAACUCCUUACUUAUUGAUAUUAUCACUUUGUUCUGUAUCCUCUCUGGUUAGUGUUCUUUUACCAUUGUUUUUUUGUUAGGAUAUGAAAGUGAUAUUGGUCUUCUCUUCUCUCAUAUUCUUUUAGUUUCAUCUAAUCAUAAAUCUGAACGUAGUCUCAAUCACACCACUGGUCUGCGAAUCUAUCGACUUCAGAAAGAAAUGGGAUCCCAUUUAAUGUCUAGUUUCCUUGUUUAUUUUGUUAUGGAUAUCCUGUAUUUUGUUUCGUUUACUACUCUACAUCUAGUAUCCCGAUCCAUGUCCCUGUUGUUGGCUCACAUCUUUGAAUUUACUCCGGACGUUUGGUUUCGUGUUCUGAUUUGCACUUGAGAGAGAGGGUUCAGUACAUGACAAGCCAUAUAUCGUGUUAAAUGGAAAUUUGGAUUUUUUUUUCACUGGAGAUUUUAGAUUUCAAAAAUUGGUUUGCAUAGGAACUCUUCCCGAAGUCGGACCUUCGACAAGCCAUUCAAUUCCUAGUCAUUCCUAAUCUCUAGCAUUCCUCUAUCUGAAUUUCAGAUAGAUUUGGUUACCCACUUCCCGAAAACACUAGAAACUGAGUCCACUCCUUUUAGGUCACUGCUUUCUCAUCAUUCGCGGGAUGGGUCUUCCACAUCUGCUUGUGUUCCUGUUCCUGACAUGAAGACCCUAACUAGUUCGUUGCGAUCUUCUCAUUUUGAAGCCCUAGAUGAUCAAAGUUUGGUUCCUACUUCGCCAUGGUCUUGGAACAGAGAAACUAAACCACCAUUCUCUUCAUACCUUCCUCGAGAAAUUGAACCCACUAUGGUGGGUGCUGGGCUUGUAAAUCUAGGCAACACAAUGCUUUCUUAAUGCAGUGCUCCAAUGCUUCACGCACACUGUCCCCCUUGUCCAGAGCCUUCGUUCUUGCAAUUAUGCCAUGCCUUGUCAUAGUUUGUGUUUCUUCCAUUGGUUUCUGUUUAUAUUAAAGAAUGAUCCGACUUUGUUAGUUCCAUUGUAAUAUCCAGAAGUUCCUUCUUCUUUCUUCCAUGUUCAAGCCUGUUGAAAGUGCAUGUAUGAUACAUGGCUUUGAAUGAUUGCCCAUCUACGUGUUUCCCUUCCCCUUGCCAUCCUUUUGCUAUAUCUUAUAGCCUUUGUUCAUGGUUUGUGGGUCGGUUUGCAAGAACGUCUUAUCGUUUGCAAUGAUUAGCACCCGAGCCAUCCUCAUUUGGCUGAUCAAUGUCACUGGGGAAGUCCUUGGAGGGCGGUUGCUACUCUUGAUAUUACAGGUGAUAUGGUGGUAUUUGUGGGUUUUGUUGAGGGUAUUUGGGUUCAGAUCGAAACUGCCCAUCUGAGGUCCUGGAUGAAAGAAUCAAUCCUGUGUCAGUUGUUUGUCUCAAUUAUCUAUAAGAUAGACAAGUGUCCUUAUUAGCAACAGGUGAAAGGAUGGGUAUGCAGAUAGAUCCAAGCCAAGUUGGAGAGUGGUGUCGGACACGCGCUUGAUGAAGGAAACAUUGAGGUUCUUGGAUAUAAACAUGGUCCUACCAUCAGAUCUGAUGUGACAACCAAUAUGUUGUGUCACAAGGAAGAAAUAUUUGAACCAAUACUUCUCUGCAUGGCCAUGCGAAUUCCGAGCAUAUAUACUCCUCGACUGGGACGACGUUCAUAAUGUUGACCACGUGUGAACUAUUUUUUGAAGGUGGGAAUUUUGCGAAUUCAUUUCAGCGCCCAAUUUUGUGUGUAUUUGAUCAGACUUUGGGCUAUCAGUUGGAAUCCAGCACGACUUUAGUUAUCGGCCGCUCGUUCACGAUGUGCUAGAUUGGAAGCUUAAUAGGUUGGAGUAUGGGGCAGACCUCUAGCACUGCUAGGUUCGCCUGACACAGGUGGACAGAUUGCUUAUAUGCUGGAUCAAGUGCGUGCCUUGGAAAAUGAGAUGCUUCUUAAGAUACAAAAGCAAGGACUUGAUGUCAUUCCUAAAAUUCUCAUAGUUACCCGACUUAUACCUGAUGCAAAGGGGACCACACGCAAUCAGAGACUUGAAAGAAUCAGUGGUACAGAACAUACACAUAUUUUUUGAGUGCCAUUUAGAAGAGAAAAUAGUAUUCUGCGGAAAUGGAUCUCAAGGUUUGAUGUAUGGCCAUAUCUGGAAACCUUUGCAGAGGAUGUAUCAAAUGAAAUUGCUGCCGAGCUACAGGGAGUUCCAGAUCUGAUCAUUGGCAACUAUAGUGAUGGGAAUCUUGUUGCAUCUUUACUAUCUUAUAAGCUGGGAAUUACGCAGUGCAAUAUUGCUCAUGCAUUGGAGAAAACAAAAUAUCCAGAGUCUGAUAUAUAUUGGAGAAAAUUUGAGGAUAAGUACCAUUUCUCAAGCCAAUUUACUGCUGAUCUAAUUGCAAUGAACAAUGCAGAUUCUAUAAUCACCAGUACAUACCAAGAGAUUGCCGGAAGCAAGAAUCAUGUUGGACAGUAUGAGAGCCACACAGCCUUCACUCUUCUAGGGCUGCACCGAGUUGUUC
RNAcentral lists this long non-coding RNA (39537 nucleotides) under Vitis vinifera (wine grape). RNAcentral describes it as "long non-coding RNA (VVIN_LNC003761)". Lineage: Eukaryota; Viridiplantae; Streptophyta; Magnoliopsida; Vitales; Vitaceae. The record is from RNAcentral.